Molecule: transfer RNA, 84 nt
Filed under: Lentisphaerota bacterium
Lineage: Bacteria; Pseudomonadati; Lentisphaerota
Description: Lentisphaerae bacterium (feces metagenome) tRNA-Leu
Rfam family: tRNA
About the family: Transfer RNA (tRNA) molecules are approximately 80 nucleotides in length.
Source: RNAcentral
GCACGGCUGGUGAAAUGGCAGACACGAAGGAUUUAGGUUCCUUUGCCGCAAGGCGUGUGGGUUCGAGUCCCUCGCCGUGCACCA